CCCCAGAGCCGUGCUCAGCGCCGCCGGUGACCGGCCCGUGCCGCGCCGCGUUCCCGCGCUGGUACUACAGCCCCGAGGAGAAAUCCUGCCGGGAAUUCACCUACGGCGGCUGCCGGGGCAACGCCAACAACCACCGGGACGAGCAGGAGUGUCUGCGGCGCUGCCGGCCCCGCCCAGAUGAUCUCGGCGCCGAAUUCCGGAGAUUCUUCUCUUCCAAAGGGGCCGUUUUUGGGGGGCUGCUGGCCCUGGGCGCCGCCCUGGGCUCAGUUCUCAGCCUCGCCCUUCGCCGCUGCCGCCGGACGCCCCGAGCGCCGCCGAGCCCCGAGGAUCGCGAGUGCCUGAUGAAGGAUCCCUACCCUGCCUGAGACCCCCCAGAAACCCCCAAAACACCCCAAAAAUAUCCCCAAAAAAUCCCCCAAAAACAUCACCCCGACCCCCCUCCUGAUAAUGAUCCGUGCUCUGCCCCCUCCGGGUGAUUUUUAGUGAUUUUUGUAGGGAAAAUUUAAAAAAUGGGGAGAAUUUGGGGAAGGGUGGGAAUCAGCAAAAACCCCCCAAAAAAACCCAAAAAAAUCCCCCAAAAAAUCCCAAAAAUUUCCCUCAAACCCCCUCCUGAUAAUGAUCCGUGCUCCCCCACCCCGGGUGAUUUUUAGUGAUUUUUGUAGGGAAAAUUUAAAAAAUGGGGAGAAUUUGGGGAAGGGUGGGAUCAGCAAAAACCCCCGAAAAAACCUCCAAAAAAAUCCCAAAAAAAUCCCCUAAAAAAUCCCAAAAAUUUCCCUCAAACCCCCCUCCUGAUAAUGAUCCGUGCUCCGCCCCCCCCGGGUGAUUUUUAGUGAUUUUUGUAGGGAAAAUUUAAAAAAUGGGGAGAAUUUGGGGAAGGGUGGGAAUCAGCAAAAAACCCCCAAAAAAUCCCAAAAAAAAUCCCCCAAAAAACCCCAAAAAAAUCCCCCAAAAAAUCAAAAACAUCACCCCAAACCCCCUCCUGAUAAUGAUCCGUGCUCUGCCCCCCCCCGGGUGAUUUUUAGUGAUUUUUGUAGGGAAAAUUUUUAAAAAUGGGGAGAAUUUGGGGAAGGGUGGGAAUCAGCAAAAACCCCCAAAAAACCCCCAAAAAAUCCCAAAAUCCCAAAAAUCCCCCAAAAAAUCCCAAAAAAUCCCCCCAAAAAUCCCAAAAAUUUCCACAAACCCCCUCCUGAUAAUGAUCCGUGCUCUGCCCCCUCCGGGUGAUUUUUAGUGAUUUUUGUAGGGAAAAUUUAAAAAAUGGGGAGAAUUUGGGGAAGGGUGGGAAUCAGCAAAAAACCCCCAAAAAAUCCCAAAAAAAAUCCCCCAAAAAAAUCCCCAAAAAAAUCCCCCAAAAAAUCCCAAAAAUUUUUCACAAACCCCCUCCUGAUAAUGAUCCGUGCUCCGCCCCCCCCGGGUGAUUUUUAGUGAUUUUUGUAGGGAAAAUUUAAAAAAUGGGGAGAAUUUGGGGAAGGGUGGGAAUCAGCAAAAACCCCCCAAAAAAUCCCAAAAAAAUCCCAAAAAAAUCCCCCCAAAAAUCCCAAAAAAAUCCCCCCAAAAAAUCCCAAAAAUUUCCACAAACCCUCUCCUGAUAAUGAUCCGUGCUCUGCUCCCCCCGGGUGAUUUUUAGUGAUUUUUAUAGGGAAAAUUUAAAAAUGGGGAAAUUUUGGGGAAGGGUGGGAAUCAGCAAAAACCCCCCAAAAAAUCCCCCCAAAAAUCCCAAAAAUUUCCUCAAACCCCCUCCUGAUAAUGAUCCGUGCUCUGCCCCCCCCGGGUGAUUUUUAGUGAUUUUUAUAGGGAAAAGAAAGAAAAAAAAAAUCAGAAUUUGGGGAAAAGAGGGUGGGAAUCUCUGACCCCUCCCCAAAAAAACCCCAAAAAUCUCCAAAAAACCCCCCCAAAACUAAAAAAAAAAAACCAAAACAAAAAUACCCAAAAAACCCCAAAAAAUCCCCCAGAAAAUCUCAAAAACCCUGAAAAAUCCCCCCCUCCCCCCAAUUUGUUCAGAUUUUGGGGGUCCCAGCGUUUAUUGGGGAUCCCCCCUCUAUUUGUGUGAUUUUUUUGGGGGAGUUUGUGAUUUUUGGGUGGAAUCGAGAGGAUUUUGGGGUUGGGGGAUGAUUUGGGGAGGGUUUUGUACGUUCCAGGGUUUUGUUGGAAUAAAGGGAAAAUUGGAACCAGCCCCGAA
This is a long non-coding RNA of Oenanthe melanoleuca, 2176 nucleotides long. RefSeq lists it as uncharacterized. The record is from RefSeq and is a predicted model, not a curated record. NCBI's taxonomy places the organism in Eukaryota, Metazoa, Chordata, Aves, Passeriformes, Muscicapidae. The transcript has 3 exons.